Molecule: ribosomal RNA, 213 nt
Filed under: uncultured bacterium
Lineage: Bacteria
Description: partial 16S ribosomal RNA
Rfam family: Bacterial small subunit ribosomal RNA
Source: RNAcentral
GAGUAACACGUUGAAUAAUCUACCUCCGAGUGGGGAAUAACUGAGAGAAAUCUUAGCUAAUGCCGCAUAACACUUACGAGUCAAAGCAGCAAUGCGCUUGGAGAGGAGUUCGCGGCCGAUUAGUUAGUUGGCGGGGUAAUGGCCCACCAAGACGAUGAUCGGUAUCCGGCCUGAGAGGGCGCACGGACACACUGGAACUGAAACACGGUCCAG